Molecule: long non-coding RNA, 1500 nt
Filed under: Sorghum bicolor (sorghum)
Lineage: Eukaryota; Viridiplantae; Streptophyta; Magnoliopsida; Poales; Poaceae
Description: long non-coding RNA (SBIC_LNC014873)
Source: RNAcentral
GGCAAAUAAAUCUAUUUUUUUUAUUUUGAAAAACCUCUUUGCCGAGAGCCUCCAGAUGGGCUCUCGGCAAAGCAAUUAAAAUUUUUUUGAACAAGCUCUUUGUCGAGAGCCAGGCCUGAGGCUCUCGGCAAAUCGACCAUUUUUUUAGCUUUGCUGAGAGGGCUCUCGGCAAAGGAACCAUUUUUUCAGAUUUGCCGAGAGCCCCCCUCGGCAAAUCGACCAAAAACUUUUUUUUUGUAUUUUUUCAUCCAAUUUCCACUGAAAUGCAUAUGAUACAUAUAUUUUCAGAAAAUCACAUAUUUCACAUCCAAGAGCCUAUAGCUCACAUAUUUGACAUCGAUGACAAUAUAUAGCACAUAAUGGCCUGCUUUGAUAAUGACUGAAGUCAGGAAAAAAAUGGGAUACCGAUACCGAUAAACUCUCUUGAUAUUACAUACUUUCCUAUGCUCAUGAACUAUUCGAUGUUUCUAUGUGUCUGUACUCUACUAAUUAUCUACGGACAUCGAAACAACGACCACGCCAUCACGACAAAUGGGAUUCAACUGUCCCAUUGAUGUGAAGAAGGCUAUCUGCAAAGGAAAGUUUGAACCCAUCUUAGUAUCAAAGGAACGUUGCCUUCACAGCCAAACGGGAAAGUGACUAUAUCAUACAGGAAAAAAUAUCAAUAUGUUACACGCAAGCUUUAACAAAGUCAAUUAGGUAAAUGUUUAACAUAGGAAUAUAGAAUACUACAUCAAUAAGCACCAGAGAGGUGAGAGUAAAUUGCCUUAGUAUAAAUAAAGCUUUUCAUUUCUGUCCAAUAUAACUUUUAUUGAAUGUUGCGAGAUGAAGUAGACUAGUUUAACGGUGUUCACUGCACAGGGCUAAUUGAAAAUAUUUCACAUCCAACCAAGUGAAAGUUGCACUGAAUUUUCCAACACUACUUACAGCAACAGAAGUGAGUUUUUAAGUUUAACUACAAAUGUGUAGUCAACAGAAGUUAUUGCAAAGUUUUUGCAUUCCCGACUUGCUCGUUAAGCACAUAGGAAAUGAUAACAAAGCAUAAAAAGUUUACAAAAGGGAAGAUAUUAGACAACACUUCACUGACAUCUUAGUAUCAAUCAGAAAGAUAAAGGCGUCCUCAUACAGCUAAUUUAGCAAAAAGGUUACACCAAACUAGAGAUAGGGAUAAAUCCAUCAUCAGUUCAUCAGAGGAUAAGUAGUGGUCCUUACUCAAAAGUGUAGUGAAUAGAACUUGUACUUGGUAACUAAACUGACAUUGAGAUAUUAUAACGGGUGCACAGACCAUCAAUAGCUUUCUCCACAUAUUUUGUCAUCUCAGGGAUAGUCACCUUGCACACUAAUUAUUAGAGACAAAUGAGAAUGGAGAAGACCAACAUAAUGUAAGAGUUGAGAUAUGCUAGUAACAUUGUAUGCAGGGGUGACAUGCUGCAAUUGCCGUACUGUACUCAAGAACGGAACGGAACGGGGUAGCAACGGCAUACCUGCUGGUGACGUCGA